GUUGCAGGGUAUAGACCCGAAACCCGGUGAUCUAGCCAUGGGCAGGUUGAAGGUUGGGUAACACUAACUGGAGGACCGAACCGACUAAUGUUGAAAAAUUAGCGGAUGACCUGUGGCUGGGGGUGAAAGGCCAAUCAAACCGGGAGAUAGCUGGUUCUCCCCGAAAGCUAUUUAGGUAGCGCCUCGUGAAUUCAUCUCCGGGGGUAGAGCACUGUUUCGGCUAGGGGGCCAUCCCGGCUUACCAACCCGAUGCAAACUGCGAAUACCGGAGAAUGUUAUCACGGGAGACACACGGCGGGUGCUAACGUCCGUCGUGAAGAGGGAAACAACCCAGACCGCCAGCUAAGGUCCCAAAGUCAUGGUUAAGUGGGAAACGAUGUGGGAAGGCCCAGACAGCCAGGAUGUUGGCUUAGAAGCAGCCAUCAUUUAAAGAAAGCGUAAUAGCUCACUGGUCGAGUCGGCCUGCGCGGAAGAUGUAACGGGGCUAAACCAUGCACCGAAGCUGCGGCAGCGAACGUAUCACCCAAGACAACUUUACGGAGUUGACGAUUGACGGAGCGAAGCGACGUCAAAGCGUUCAUUAAAGUCGAGUUGGCUUAGGGAUACGUUCGUUGGGUAGGGGAGCGUUCUGUAAGCCUGUGAAGGUGUGUCGUGAGGCAUGCUGGAGGUAUCAGAAGUGCGAAUGCUGACAUAAGUAACGAUAAAGCGGGUGAAAAGCCCGCUCGCCGGAAGACCAAGGGUUCCUGUCCAACGUUAAUCGGGGCAGGGUGAGUCGACCCCUAAGGCGAGGCCGAAAGGCGUAGUCGAUGGGAAACGGGUUAAUAUUCCCGUACUUGGUGUUACUGCGAAGGGGGGACGGAGAAGGCUAUGUUGGCCGGGCGACGGUUGUCCCGGUUUAAGCGUGUAGGUGUGUGUUCCAGGUAAAUCCGGUUCACUUUAACACUGAGGCGUGACGACGAGGCACUACGGUGCUGAAGCAACAAAUGCCCUGCUUCCAGGAAAAGCCUCUAAGCAUCAGGUAACACGAAAUCGUACCCCAAACCGACACAGGUGGUCAGGUAGAGAAUACCAAGGCGCUUGAGAGAACUCGGGUGAAGGAACUAGGCAAAAUGGUGCCGUAACUUCGGGAGAAGGCACGCUGACACGUAGGUGAAGUGAUUUACUCAUGGAGCUGAAGUCAGUCGAAGAUACCAGCUGGCUGCAACUGUUUAUUAAAAACACAGCACUGUGCAAACACGAAAGUGGACGUAUACGGUGUGACGCCUGCCCGGUGCCGGAA
Molecule: ribosomal RNA, 1279 nt
Filed under: Salmonella enterica subsp. enterica serovar Typhimurium
Lineage: Bacteria; Pseudomonadati; Pseudomonadota; Gammaproteobacteria; Enterobacterales; Enterobacteriaceae
Description: partial 23S ribosomal RNA
Rfam family: Bacterial large subunit ribosomal RNA
Source: RNAcentral